This 23-nucleotide non-coding RNA is filed under the name Cricetulus griseus (Chinese hamster). Lineage: Eukaryota; Metazoa; Chordata; Mammalia; Rodentia; Cricetidae. The record is from RNAcentral.
UGGACUAAAUAGUACUAAGUACU